This 37-nucleotide ribosomal RNA is filed under the name Eucalyptus grisea. RNAcentral describes it as "partial 18S ribosomal RNA". The record is from RNAcentral. Lineage: Eukaryota; Viridiplantae; Streptophyta; Magnoliopsida; Myrtales; Myrtaceae.
CAAGGUUUCCGUAGGGGGACCUGCGGAAGGAUCAUUG